RNAcentral lists this ribosomal RNA (467 nucleotides) under uncultured bacterium. RNAcentral describes it as "partial 16S ribosomal RNA". It matches the Rfam family "Bacterial small subunit ribosomal RNA", at positions 329 to 793 of the family's 1533-position model. The record is from RNAcentral.
UCCCAGACUCCUACGGGAGGCAGCAGUGAGGAAUUUUGGUCAAUGGCCGGAAGGCUGAACCAGCCAAGCCGCGUGAAGGACGAAGGUGCCAAGCAUUGUAAACUUCUUUUGUCAAGGGACAAAAUCAGGCUCGAGAGCCUGACCGAGGGUACUUGAAGAAAAAGCAUCGGCUAACUCCGUGCCAGCAGCCGCGGUAAUACGUAGGGGGCAAGCGUUAUCCGGAUUUACUGGGUGUAAAGGGAGCGUAGACGGUAUGGCAAGUCUGAUGUGAAAACCCGGGGCUCAACCCCGGGACUGCAUUGGAAACUGUCGGACUAGAGUGUCGGAGAGGCAAGUGGAAUUCCUAGUGUAGCGGUGAAAUGCGUAGAUAUUAGGAGGAACACCAGUGGCGAAGGCGGCUUGCUGGACGAUGACUGACGUUGAGGCUCGAAAGCGUGGGGAGCAAACAGGAUUAGAUACCCCCGUAC